CUUGUAUUAAUUGUUUAAACUCAUAGGUUAAACGUAGCACUUGAGUAAGAUGUAUUGUGUUAAAAUUGUAUAACUGUGUGUAUAUGGUUUAAAGUUUGAUAAACUGUAACAUCAUUUGAGAAGAGAUUUUUGUGUAAACUCCAGUUGUCAGUCAGUAUACAGACUGAAAAUUGUGACCUUUCGAUCUCUCAAAAGGUGAUAUAGUGGUGUGUAAAAGUACAAGUAACAGAAAUGAGGUUGAAUCAUGGCAAGCAGCUUGAUCAUGGGGAUAGUAUACCCAGUGAUUCCCCAGUUUAUUUAAUGAAACAGAAAUAUGGCCCUUCAAAUAUUAUGUAUUCAAAGAAAUGGGCAAAGUUAACUAAGAAUAAUAUAAAUCCAUGGCCAGUGGUGGGGUCAUUAGACCCUUGGGUGUUGUUAAGUUUAAGAACAAUGUUGUUAAAUGGAAAAAGUCUUUCAAAACUGGAAUGGUCUGCAUAUAUGUUAUGGCAUGAGGAAAUUGAAAAGAAAAAGCAAGAAUGUUCCCCCCAGUCAGGUGCAACAGGAGGGGCACGUAAAGGAGAGGGUACUGGUGUUGCCUGUUUGUAUCCCUCACUGUACAAUUUAAAAAGAAAUGUUAAAAAUCCUCCGCCUUAUAAUGAUGAUGAGGAUUUUUUGAUUAAUCAUGAGAUUAUGAAUCCCUCUUUGGGUCACUUCCCCUCAGCAGAUGAAUGAUGCACCACAGCUUGUACCCCAAAAUUUAGCUGGUGCCUCAGCCAUGUUGCAUUGAGGUGGUAGACCUGAGAGGGAUAUUAGACUGCCUAAAAGAUUUGCUGAUCAUGCUGUGGUAACUACAGGUUUAUCAGGAUGUAGCAAUGUGUUGCCUGAGAGUGAUGGGAGUGAGGCUAUGAUUUUACCUAUUAGAGAAGUGGGACAGAUGGAUAAUGAUGGGAGACCACGGAGGAUUUGUCAACCGUGGAGCCCACAAGACAUAGCAUUUUUACAGGUAUCAUUUCCUGCCCCCUCUAGAUCCAAAUGGGUUUGUAAAACAUUUAAAAAUAAUGUGUGCCAGCUAUUUCCCCACAACAUAAGAUCUUAAUGAGUUAAUGGAGACAGUAUUAACCCCUGCAGAACAUACUAAAUGGGUGGCAGGAUAUAACGAGUCACCUUUCUCAUGGCCUGCAGGAGUGGGGGUACAAGCAGUUGCACACAUAUGGGAAAAUUGCCCUGAUGAGAGGAGUGAUGUUGUCCUUAAGAAUUGGUAUGCAUUCCUCAGCAUCAAAUUAAAAACAGUUUUUACCCAGCCUAUUGACUAUACAUAGCAUAGUGCAAAAGAAAGGAGAAAACCCCUAUGAAUAUGCGGAAGCAAUUAAGGUUUUUGGAAGUUUUGAAGAUAUCACGAAUUAAUCAAUUAAGCCGUUCAUAGUGAAUACCUUAGUAAAUGGUUUGGAUGCUAAAGUAAAAAAAACAAUUGAUGUUAUCCUUACUGGGAUGGCGGGAUAAAUCACUUAAUAUUGUAUUAAGUGCAGCAUCGGAAAUUUGACAGGCUAUUCAAAUCAAGGAAAAUGCAAAAGCUGAGCACCUUAUGCUACAAGCUGAACAAAUGCCUGUUAGAUAUUAUGCACAUCAGCCAAGACAAAACAUAGCCAGAAGACCCCCACAGAAUAAUGUAAGAACAUUUAUCAAAUGUUUCAAUUGUGAUGGAUAUGGUCAUAUAGCAACAGAUUGCAAGGAGGUAAAGGGGGCAAGAAAGCAAUUAGAAGAAAAAGACGGACUAGAUGUAGAAGAAGAUUGGGGUCUGAAUAUGUAUUGUUAGUGUACCUGUGACCCAAGGUCCAGAACCUAUGGUACAUUUGAAAGUAAAUUAAUUGUAUGUGAUACUGAGGGAAGAAGAAGUAAGUGAUUUUGGUGGGGAGAGUGUAUAUUUAGUGGAAGACCAGCAUUGCCAUCAUUGUUGUUUAAUUCUGAAUGGUCAAGGCUGGGCCUAGAAUCUGUAUUGGUACUGGUGUGUUCUUCAUGUGUUAUUUGUUUACAAUACAAUGCAGGUCAGAGACCUAAGAUUAAGCAGCUAAAUCAUCCUCCCUGUUCAUGAGGUCCAUUUGUAAAUUUACAAAUGGAUUUCAUUGAAUUACCAAAGGUAAUGCAGUAUUGGUAUGUGCUAGUAAUAUUAGAUACAUUCUCAGGUUUGGUUGAGGCUUAUCCUUGUUGCCAUGCGGAUAUGUCUACAAUGUUUAAGAAAUUGUUACAAGAAUUUAUACCCAGGUAUGGAUUGCCUCGGCACAUUUACUCAGAUCAGGGAACACAUUUCACAGGAAAAGUAGUGCAACAGAUAGCAAAAAUUUAGCAAAUCCCUUACCAUUUACAUUGCUCUCAUCAUCCUCAGUCAGAAGGAGCAGUAGAAAGGGCCAAUGGAACAUUGAAAAACAAAAUUGCAAAAAUUGCAGCAGAGAAAGUUAAAGUGGCUUAAUGCACUUCCUCUUGCCUUAAUGUCUAUGAGAUUCUCUCUAGUUUGAAAGCAGGGUUAUCCCCUCAUGAAAUUCUAAUGGGAAGACCAAUGUUCACAGGAGGGGUACCUAUAAAAUGUUAUUCUCAUGAGAUAAAUGAUGAUUUAGUAAUGACAUAUUGCAUGUAGCUAACAAAACGAUUAGUCUCUCUAUAUGCAGGUAAAAGCUGUACAGCGAACAAGUGAAUACCAACCUUUGCAUGCCAUCGCUCCUGGAGAUUAUGUUAUGAUAAAAGACCAUUCACGAAAGCACGCGUUGCAACCAAGGUGGAAAGGACCUUGUCAAGUGUUAUUAACCACUAAUUCAGCUGUUAAAGUCGCAGGGGUUAAAUCUUGGAUCCACAUUUCCCAUUGUAAACUGACAAGCGC
This is a non-coding RNA of Pelobates cultripes (western spadefoot toad), 2848 nucleotides long. The record is from the annotation of a GenBank genome assembly. NCBI's taxonomy places the organism in Eukaryota, Metazoa, Chordata, Amphibia, Anura, Pelobatidae.